CCACUCAUACACAUGACCAGAAGCAAAUAUUAUUUUUUAUAUUGACAAGAGAGCCGAGUGACCACUCUAUCAAUGGAAAUACAUGUGCUCAACGAUCAGGUGGGACCAUUCUAGCCAACGAGAGGGCAGAUUUCUCAAUUAUGUUGAAAGCACCAUCAAUCCAGAGAAUGCCAGAAUUUGCUGACAAAUUUUUCCCACGAAGGACCGCUGCUCCACCUUCCCGUUCAUGUGAGCACAUCACAAACAGAUCCUGAGGCAUCAAAGCAUCCCCAAUCCAUCACACUAGCACCACCAUGCUUGACCGUUGGUAUGAUGGUCUUACUGUGGAAUGCAGUGUUUGGUUUUCGCCAGACAUAAUGGGACCCAUCCGUUGUAUAGGAAUUCAUGUCCAGUCCUAAUAGGCUGAAGAUUAUAUCAUAAAUAAAAGUAUUGUGUUGGUCUACCUGGAAACAGAGAGGCAAAUUUC
Long non-coding RNA from Oncorhynchus kisutch (coho salmon), 466 nucleotides. RefSeq lists it as uncharacterized. Lineage: Eukaryota; Metazoa; Chordata; Actinopteri; Salmoniformes; Salmonidae. The transcript has 3 exons. The record is from RefSeq and is a predicted model, not a curated record.